RNAcentral lists this transfer RNA (66 nucleotides) under Nodopelta heminoda. Its description in RNAcentral is "tRNA-Met". It matches the Rfam family "tRNA". Rfam says of the family: Transfer RNA (tRNA) molecules are approximately 80 nucleotides in length. Their secondary structure includes four short double-helical elements and three loops (D, anti-codon, and T loops). Lineage: Eukaryota; Metazoa; Mollusca; Gastropoda; Neomphalida; Peltospiridae. The record is from RNAcentral.
AAUAAGAUAAGCUAAGAAUAAGCUGUUGGGUUCAUACCCCAAAUAUGAAUGUUAAUUCUCUUAUUA